CGAACGCUGGCGGCAGGCCUAACACAUGCAAGUCGAGCGAGGACUUCGGUCCUAGCGGCGGACGGGUGAGUAACGCGUGGGAACGUGCCCUUUGCUACGGAAUAGCCCUGGGAAACUGGGAGUAAUACCGUAUGUGCCCGAGAGGGGAAAGAUUUAUCGGCAAAGGAUCGGCCCGCGUUGGAUUAGGUAGUUGGUGGGGUAAUGGCCUACCAAGCCGACGAUCCAUAGCUGGUUUGAGAGGAUGAUCAGCCACACUGGGACUGAGACACGGCCCAGACUCCUACGGGAGGCAGCAGUGGGGAAUCUUAGACAAUGGGGGAAACCCUGAUCUAGCCAUGCCGCGUGAGCGAUGAAGGCCUUAGGGUUGUAAAGCUCUUUCGUGGGGGAAGAUAAUGACUGUACCCCAAGAAGAAGCCCCGGCUAACUCCGUGCCAGCAG
RNAcentral lists this ribosomal RNA (438 nucleotides) under Pseudogemmobacter blasticus. Its description in RNAcentral is "bacterial SSU rRNA". It matches the Rfam family "Bacterial small subunit ribosomal RNA", at positions 30 to 514 of the family's 1533-position model. The record is from RNAcentral. Lineage: Bacteria; Pseudomonadati; Pseudomonadota; Alphaproteobacteria; Rhodobacterales; Paracoccaceae.